Non-coding RNA from Triticum aestivum (bread wheat), 135 nucleotides. Lineage: Eukaryota; Viridiplantae; Streptophyta; Magnoliopsida; Poales; Poaceae. The record is from Rfam.
UUUAUACUCCAUCUGUCCCAAAAUUCUUAUUUUACAUUUGUCUAGAUAUGGAUGUACCUAAUAGUAAAACAUAACUUGAUAUAUCCGUAUUUGAACAAAUUUAAGACAAGAAUUUUAGGACGGAGGGAGUACAAU